UAAUAGCUCACUGGUCGAGUCGGCCUGCGCGGAAGAUGUAACGGGGCUAAACCAUGCACCGAAGCUGCGGCAGCGACGCUUAUGCGUUGUUGGGUAGGGGAGCGUUCUGUAAGCCUGUGAAGGUGUGCUGUGAGGCAUGCUGGAGGUAUCAGAAGUGCGAAUGCUGACAUAAGUAACGAUAAAGCGGGUGAAAAGCCCGCUCGCCGGAAGACCAAGGGUUCCUGUCCAACGUUAAUCGGGGCAGGGUGAGUCGACCCCUAAGGCGAGGCCGAAAGGCGUAGUCGAUGGGAAACAGGUUAAUAUUCCUGUACUUGGUGUUACUGCGAAGGGGGGACGGAGAAGGCUAUGUUGGCCGGGCGACGGUUGUCCCGGUUUAAGCGUGUAGGCUGGUUUUCCAGGCAAAUCCGGAAAACCAAGGCUGAGGCGUGAUGACGAGGCACUACGGUGCUGAAGCAACAAAUGCCCUGCUUCCAGGAAAAGCCUCUAAGCAUCAGGUAACAUCAAAUCGUACCCCAAACCGACACAGGUGGUCAGGUAGAGAAUACCAAGGCGCUUGAGAGAACUCGGGUGAAGGAACUAGGCAAAAUGGUGCCGUAACUUCGGGAGAAGGCACGCUGAUAUGUAGGUGAAGCGACUAGCUCGUGGAGCUGAAAUCAGUCGAAGAUACCAGCUGGCUGCAACUGUUUAUUAAAAACACAGCACUGUGCAAACACGAAAGUGGACGUAUACGGUGUGACGCCUGCCCGGUGCCGGAAGGUUAAUUGAUGGGGUUAGCGGCAACGCGAAGCUCUUGAUCGAAGCCCCGGUAAACGGCGGCCGUAACUAUAACGGUCCUAAGGUAGCGAAAUUCCUUGUCGGGUAAGUUCCGACCUGCACGAAUGGCGUAAUGAUGGCCAGGCUGUCUCCACCCGAGACUCAGUGAAAUUGAACUCGCUGUGAAGAUGCAGUGUACCCGCGGCAAGACGGAAAGACCCCGUGAACCUUUACUAUAGCUUGACACUGAACAUUGAGCCUUGAUGUGUAGGAUAGGUGGGAGGCUUUGAAGUGUGGACGCCAGUCUGCAUGGAGCCGACCUUGAAAUACCACCCUUUAAUGUUUGAUGUUCUAACGUUGGCCCGUAAUCCGGGUUGCGGACAGUGUCUGGUGGGUAGUUUGACUGGGGCGGUCUCCUCCUAAAGAGUAACGGAGGAGCACGAAGGUU
RNAcentral lists this ribosomal RNA (1201 nucleotides) under Escherichia coli. RNAcentral's name for it is "partial 23S ribosomal RNA". It matches the Rfam family "Bacterial large subunit ribosomal RNA", at positions 1135 to 2318 of the family's 2925-position model. The record is from RNAcentral. Lineage: Bacteria; Pseudomonadati; Pseudomonadota; Gammaproteobacteria; Enterobacterales; Enterobacteriaceae.